This 452-nucleotide ribosomal RNA is filed under the name uncultured organism. RNAcentral describes it as "partial 16S ribosomal RNA". It matches the Rfam family "Bacterial small subunit ribosomal RNA", at positions 333 to 801 of the family's 1533-position model. The record is from RNAcentral.
ACACUCCUGCGGGAGGCAGCAGUGGGGAAUCUUGCGCAAUGGGCGAAAGCCUGACGCAGCCAUGCCGCGUGAAUGAUGAAGGUCUUAGGAUUGUAAAAUUCUUUCACCGGGGACGAUAAUGACGGUACCCGGAGAAGAAGCCCCGGCUAACUUCGUGCCAGCAGCCGCGGUAAUACGAAGGGGGCUAGCGUUGCUCGGAAUUACUGGGCGUAAAGGGAGCGUAGGCGGACAUUUAAGUCAGGGGUGAAAUCCCGGGGCUCAACCUCGGAAUUGCCUUUGAUACUGGGUGUCUUGAGUAUGAGAGAGGUGUGUGGAACUCCGAGUGUAGAGGUGAAAUUCGUAGAUAUUCGGAAGAACACCAGUGGCGGAGGCGACACACUGGCUCAUUACUUACGCUGAGGCUCGAAAGCGUGGGGAGCAAACAGGAUUAGAUACCCUAGUAGUCCCAUGAU